CAUUAAAUGACUGAUUUUAAAAGUAUUGAUUUUUUAAAUCAAAAUAUAAUAGAUUCCUCUAUUUUUAAUGA
This 71-nucleotide transfer RNA is filed under the name Stenamma diecki. Its description in RNAcentral is "tRNA-Lys". Lineage: Eukaryota; Metazoa; Arthropoda; Insecta; Hymenoptera; Formicidae. The record is from RNAcentral.